This 66-nucleotide transfer RNA is filed under the name marine eukaryotic metagenome. It matches the Rfam family "tRNA", at positions 5 to 66 of the family's 71-position model. Rfam says of the family: Transfer RNA (tRNA) molecules are approximately 80 nucleotides in length. Their secondary structure includes four short double-helical elements and three loops (D, anti-codon, and T loops). Further hydrogen bonds mediate the characteristic L-shaped molecular structure. tRNAs have two regions of fundamental functional importance: the anti-codon, which is responsible for specific mRNA codon recognition, and the 3' end, to which the tRNAs corresponding amino acid is attached (by aminoacyl-tRNA synthetases). tRNAs cope with the degeneracy of the genetic code in two manners: having more than one tRNA (with a specific anti-codon) for a particular amino acid; and 'wobble' base-pairing, i.e. permitting non-standard base-pairing at the 3rd anti-codon position. The record is from RNAcentral.
UGUUUAGCUCAGUUGGUUAGAGCAACGGACUGUUAAUCCGUGUGUCGCCGGUUCGAAUCCAGCAAC